Molecule: ribosomal RNA, 503 nt
Filed under: uncultured bacterium
Lineage: Bacteria
Description: partial 16S ribosomal RNA
Rfam family: Bacterial small subunit ribosomal RNA
Source: RNAcentral
AUUGAACGCUGGCGGCAGGCUUAACACAUGCAAGUCGAGCGGGGUGAUGGUGCUUGCACUAUCACUUAGCGGCGGACGGGUGAGUAAUGCUUAGGAAUCUGCCUAUUAGUGGGGGACAACAUCUCGAAAGGGAUGCUAAUACCGCAUACGUCCUACGGGAGAAAGCAGGGGAUCACUUGUGACCUUGCGCUACUAGAUGAGUCUAAGUCGGAUUAGCGAGUUGGUGGGGUAAAGGCCUAACAAGGCGACGAUCUGUAGCGGGUCGGAGACGAUGAUCCGCCACACUGGGACUGAGACACGGCCCAGACUCCUACGGGAGGCAGCAGUGGGGAAUAUUGGACAAUGGGGGGAACCCUGAUCCAGCCAUGCCGCGUGUGUGAAGAAGGCCUUAUGGUUGUAAAGCACUUUAAGCGAGGAGGAGGCUCUUUUGGUUAAUACCCAAGAUGAGUGGACGUUACUCGCAGAAUAAGCACCGGCUAACUCUGUGCCAGCAGCCGCCGCAG